This 13032-nucleotide long non-coding RNA is filed under the name Hordeum vulgare. RNAcentral's name for it is "long non-coding RNA (HVUL_LNC017228)". The record is from RNAcentral. Lineage: Eukaryota; Viridiplantae; Streptophyta; Magnoliopsida; Poales; Poaceae.
UCAACCUUGGGAAAAUCUGCAUAGGGGUAAUGCAUCCUAUGGCUUCCGCAUCAAGGUUAUUACAUAAUGUGGUCAGGUUAUCCAUGUUUCGUAAGGACAAAAACUCAAGAGAGACCGAAAACCAUACUGCAGGUAUACUCUUGCAUCUUGGGCAGUCGGAAAUUUCGAGUUCUUCCAAACUGUUAAACAUCUGAGGUUCUCCUACACUAUUUUCUGCUCAUAUCUCCAGGCUUGGUAACUGAAUCAAACACAACUUCUUCAAAUUUGGGAAAAGUUGCAGAGAGGUAAUGCUUCCUCCAGCUUCCACACCAAGGUUACUACAUAAUGUUGUCAGGUUAUCCAUCCUCUGUAAGACCAAAAUCUCUAGAGAUGUCGAGAGCCAUAUUACAGGGAUACUCUUGCAUUUCGGGCUAUCAGACAUUCUGAGUUCUCUCAAGCACUCAAACAUCUGAGGCUUUCUCAUCCAUUGUGAUAUUUCUAGGCCAUGAUAUCCACGUAUCUCCAGUUUUUGGAUAUUACUAUGAGGUUCUAAGCACUGAAGCACUUCUUCCACAUCUCUAGGCUCAUCAUCUAUUUCUUGGCCCCAAGAGAACAACAACUCACUUAGAUUUUGCUUCUGACUGAGAUUGGCUUCUUUUGCAUUCCCCCCACUCUUUAUCUUGUUCAAAUUGAAUAGUUCCAACCUAUUGCUAAGGUUUUGCAAGUCUUUGAGCUGCUCUAUUCCAAGGCCAUCUCCGGUACCAACAACAAAUGUUGUUAAUACGUGAAGGUUAUUCAGCAGUCCAAAGUUUGGAGACAUACUUUUGAGAUUCGUACAACCAGAAAGGUAAAGAUAGAUGAGCUUUCUCAGUCUUGCCAUGUCUUCUGGUAACUGGUUCAACUUGUAACAGCCUAUUAGCCUCAGUGUUUGCAAGUUAUACAACACACAUAUUGAAUCUGGCAACUUAGUGAUGUUAUAAUCGGAGAGCUCAAGGUAUCGUAGAUGAUUUGCAUUUAUGGCCUUGCAAUUGACAACUGAACAAGAGCUGCAACGCAAUGCUCUAAGUGAUGCCGAUACCUGUAGCAACUCUUUAAAAUGCUUGUGUGAUGCUGAAGGAUCUAACAAAGUGCGAAUGUUUGUUCUGCCUUUGCAUAACCCAUUGAUUUGUUCUAAUUCACCCUCUGAAAUUUGCAUGUGACAGACAUCUUUUAACAAUGAUUUCUUCUGAGUCAGUUCUUUCACACUUGCACAUUCAUCCGUGACAUCUUUUGCUAGAUCAUGCAUUAAAUCAUGCAUCUUACAGUUAAUAGUCACAUAAGUUUGUGUACCAUAAUUGUGUCUGAACUCUUGCUUAUCUUGGAGGAAGGACCUCCAAACCAACUCAUCAAAAAUGAAUUCUCCUCUGAGUAUCAAAUCCAUCGUUCCCUUCUCUUGAAUAAAACCAUUUGCCAUCCAUAGUUGGAUCAGCUUGUCUUUGUCCAUCACAUAGUCCUUGGGGAAAACUGCUAAGAAUGCAAAACAUUGCUUCAUUUCAGAUGAUAGGUGUAUGUAGCUCAACUUUAGGAUGGACAUGAUCUCAUCUUUCCCUCCAACAUUACACCUAAUAUUAUUUUCUUCGAUGUCCUUCCAUUCUUGUACUUGUUGAUAUGAACUUAGCAAUCCACCCAUUGCCUUCAGAGCAAGAGGCAGCCCUCUGCAUUUGUUGACAAUACGUCUGCCAAUGCUGACCAACUCUGCUUGCUCCUGCCCUACACCAUUGCUAUAUGCUUUCUCUGCAAACAAUUUCCAUGAAUCUUGUUCACUCAGACACCCUAGCUUAUGGGGUCCAAGGGUCUGCAUUAUGGAGGCCACUUUCUGGCUUCGAGUUGUCACGACUAUUACACUUCCUGCUCCACCAACAGAACACAAAAGAGGCUUCAGGACAUCCUCCCACUUCCUCUCAUCUUCAUUCCACACAUCAUCAAGCACGAGCAUAAACCGUUUUUUGCCAAUGACUUGCUCAAGUUUCUUUUGCAACAGCUCAAUCGUGUCAGGCAUGUCACAUCUUCCACUUACAGCCAACUCAAUGAUGGAUUUUAAAAGAGCAAUGGAAUCAAAGUUGUCGGACACGCAGUGCCACAUCUUCAACUGGAAAUGUUGCUGGACCCCUUUGUCAUUAUAGACCAUCUUAGCAAGAGUCGUCUUGCCAAGACCUCCCAUCCCAAUGAUGGGCAGCACCUGCACCCUCCGCUGAUCCUGCUGGUCCAGCAACAACUUCACAUAUCAUCAUAUCUUCCAGUUUCGAGUGUGCAGUUGAAGAUGUGGAAAUAAGCAACAACUUCUCCUUAUCAUCAUAUCUUCCAAAGAUCUGGGUAGUCUCGUCCAGUUUCGAGUGUGUCUGCCGCCAAAGAUGUUGGCGCUCCUCCCUACGGACAGAACUCUCCAGGCCAAACAUGUUCAUCUCCAUAACCAACUUAUUGAUCUUCUUGAGGACGUUCUUGAGUUUCCUGCUCAUUUCAAAGCGGAAGAGCAGCGGGCUGUGGCGCGUGAUGUAGCUGAAUGCCUUUCUGGUAGUGGACUUGCCAAUCUUAGACUCGCGACGCAGCGCCUCGUAUUGGAAGUCGUCGAGCACGUCGUCGGCCUCGUAGGCGACGGACUUGAGCUCCUUCAUCCAUCUCUUGACAUAGGAAUUUUUCUCGCUCAUCUCCUCAGCAUUUGCCAGCUUGCACUCGACGGCUAGUAGAUGCCGCUCGAGUGUUUGGCGGUCGUCGUCGAGGCCACACAUGCGGGUCACCGUCUCGACGAGUGCGUCUGUGGCCUUGCCAGCCACACCGCGCACUAUAGGGAGAAGCAGUGACUCCGCCAUGAUAUUGCAGAUCAGAAGAAUAGGCAACUGCAGCACAUGAAAGAACAUAUAAAAGCAAUUAAGCACUAAGAGAACACCAAACAACCUUGUUAUCUUCCUAUUGAGCCAGGAAACAUUGUGCUCCUAGAUUCAAAGCAUGGCUUACCACCUUGUAAUCCCCCAUCUAUUUUACUUUAUGUCUUCUAUAGUUCGACAGUAGCUUAGCUUGUAUAGAUGUUGUACAUACUUUUAAAUACAUAUACAUAAAAACUUCAUGUUUUGUACAGCUAAACAAACAGAAGAUGAAGAACCAAAGGAGAGAAAAACAAGGUAAAGAUUGAGGAGAGCAUUCACCUCAGCAACGCCCAAAUUUGAUGGUUGGUGAAAGAGCGAUACUGUUGUUCGUUCGUCGCCGGCACAGUGCAGAUCUCUCACGCGUCAAGGCUGCUUGGUUUGGGAAUGAGAGUUAUAAGCUCAAGGAAUCCAAUAGCUGAGUUGUAAUAUUGCCUGGCCCCUUAAUUUAUGUGGAGAUAAUCAAGGUGCGGUGCGGUGCGGUUGUUGGAAAGGAAUCCAAAAGCGACUGAUACAUGUACCUAACGUUACCACUUCAGUAUCAUAUUUUGGUUCAUUUGCUUUGUAACUUAAAAUAAUUCUGUUGGCCACUGCUCCAGGACAAAUUGAAAACCAGAAAUCCCACACUCAGGAAGGAAUUUAUCUGUGGAAUGUAUCACCUAUGAACAAUAUGUGUACGUACGGGUGGCCCCUCACUUAUUUAUAGCUAUAUAUGGUAUCACUAUUGUUGGAUAUUUCUACAAUUUCCUUAAUUCAAUAUACUUCCAAAUACUCUUAUACCUGUACGCAACUGUUUUUAGAUCAUUUUAGCAUUUGCCAUCGUGUUACUGUGGUGAAGUGUAUCCUGUUCCAUUUAACCUUCUUUACUGUGGUGAAGUGCAGAUCUCUCAUGUGGUGAUGGUGUCUAAUCGUUCAGUUACUACCAAUAAUUGUGCAAGGAAGCAUUCGCUCAGAAAAAAAGGCAGUCGGAAAGCGUGUGAGGCUUGGUUUAUUAUUGUGGAAAUGUUGUACAGGCUGACAUCACUCCCUUUUCACUCGUUGGUGGCGGUCUCCGCCCACCUCAGUCGCUGGCGGCUGGCAAGCUUCCCCACCGCAUGGCCCGUUUCCCUUCCUGGCUCCUGCUCUCCUCGCCGGCAACCGGUCCCCGUUCCGCCCCUUCAUCGUUGCGUUCGGCUCCUUGACGCUGCGAUGCACCUCGAGACGUCUGUGCGGUCAGCCCCGUCCCGCCGUGCUCCCUUCGUCGGUGUUAGCUCCUGGCGCGGUGACAGCUGUGGUAAGGCGGGAGACCCUCGCUGCUCCCCCGUGACCCGCGGGCUGAGCCGUAGCCUAACGUGCUACCGGGCCGACAUGGGCCACUUGGCGGGACACCGACAGGCCGUGGCCAACGCCCCCUCCUUGGGGCUUGGGCCGGCGCGGUCCCUCCUUGCUUGGCCGAUUCCUCGGCCGAUCUGCCCGCCUGCCGGCUUCCCCCACCUCCCGACUCCUCAUUUCCCCCAGCUCCCGCUGCCCUACUCCCGUCCCUAGCCGUCCCGUCGUCGCCGCACCUCCCCCCUGCUCCGGCGCUCCCCCGGCCUCCGAUGCCGCACAAAUGGGGGGACGACGAGGACUGCAACAAGCGUCCGCUGGAUGAUCGGCGCGAUCCUCCUCGCCCCUCUCCCGACACCAUGCGCUGCGAAGAUGACCUUCGUUGUCAGCUCUCCUCCCGGGAGCGCCGCUCGCGUCCCCGCCUGGAGCAUUGCUCCCCCCCCCCCCCCCCCUCCCCGCUCCCCUGGACCGAGAGGGCCAUCCCAGACGCUCCCGCUCCCCUUCCCCGGAGACGUGGCGGAGCUCUCGCCGGUGGUCUCGCUCCCCAACCCGACGUCGGGACCGCAGCUGUUCCCCGGCUCGCUCGGGCCGGUCUCUGCCUAGCAUGCAACAACAACGACAAUAACCGGAUGCGCAUGCACCAUCCCCUCCCCGCCGUUACCAGCCUCCGUGCGGUGAACCCAGCUCCCCCCUCCAAUGGCACUGGGGCGACUAGGGGUCGCCCAGGGGCAAAGAAGAAGAAGAGGAAGCUCGGCUGGGGUGGAAGCAAAGAAGAAGAAGAGGAAGCUCGGCUUGGGUGGAAGCAAAGAAGAAGAAGAGGAAGCUCGGCUUGGGUGGAAGCAAAGAAGAAGAAGAGGAAGCUCGGCUUGGGUGGAAGCAAGUAAUGAAGAAUAGCACUCGCUCAGCAAAGAGUGGUAUUUACCACAGUAAUACCUACUACUCAUAAGUAUCUCCCAUAAGGAAUACUAAAAACUUCUCAUUUAUAGAUAAAGUCAAUGAGGUGGUGAGAAAGCGAUGCUUGUAGCAAAAGGGUUCACGCAGAGACCCGACAACAAAUUAUGAUGCAACAUACACUCUUGGUAUGAGUGGAAUUAAGUUUCGAUAAUAAAUAUCAUUAGCAGUACAAAUAAUAUUAUCCAUGCAGUUAAUGGAUGCAAUAACUACAUACUCAUAUGAGUUACUCGUUUUGUAAAUUUAUAACGAAGUCCUUGAAGGCCUUACAAUUCCAAAUCCAAAAUAAAUCGCAACAUAUUUGUGUAAAAUUUCAGAAGUGACUCUAUGGCUUAAAAUAAUCGGAGAUCAUAUGGUACUACCGACUAAAUGAGUUCCUUCUUCAAAGCAUUACUCAAAGGAUGAUAAUUGUUUAUGUAUUAAUAAAGGAAUCCCAAAAUUUGAUUUCCUUACAUCACCUCUGUGUAUAUCGAUGAUUUCGUCAUCAAUGUCUCUACAAGACCUUAACAUACAUAAAAUCAUCUCAAGACGGAAAAUUUGGAUUCAUCCAAAUUUAGUUUAAGUUUACAAACUUGAGCAUUCUCUCAAGAAUACAUAUCAGUCUACAUAUAUCCAAAACAUAUACGAGAAGUUUGAUUUGGAUAUAUCAUAUCAAUAAAUGACAUGUAUGGUCAUACUGCCCCGAUCGGGUACAAAUAUAUUGUUACCUAGGGGUGAUAAUGAAGUGAAAUAAAGACGCGAAGUUCUAUCUCACUAAUAUCAAAGCACUCAUAUAAUUACAAACUAUGUCACGCGUGACACCAUGUUUUUCUAUGUUUGUUUAGAGUGCAACCCACAACAAAAGGUACAUGCUUGAUAUAUGGAAUAUCAUCCUAUAUCUGAAGCUCACAAUAAAUCUUGGACAAUUCCAUCAGGAAAUACAAGAUAUGACCAUGAUAUGAUAUAAUGACAUUGGCUCUUUAUUUGAUCCCAACGACGUCAUAUCAAUGACUGAAUUUGCUAGAAUAUCCUUCACAUGGAAGUCAUCCAAAUGGAUUUUAAUGGUUAUUCCAGUUAUCAUUCUGACAUACUUGCUUUAUCUAAAAGCAUUGAAAAUAUGCAUAACUCAGUAGAAUGGUUAACCACACUCAAAAUCAUGUUGUUGAGAUUCAUGAGAAUCACCUAACUUGAUUUAUCAAGAUACUUCCACUUGUGUUACUUAAUACCUACAGGUUAUAUGAAGAGCAAUAUCAUAAAUUACAUUGCUCGGAAAUUACUUAUCCUCACGGAUUAUAAAAAAGUGAGGAAAUAAUUUGCAAACAAAAUAAUAUUAUAAUCUAACAGACUAUACACAAUCUCAUGUUCAUGUCAAUGGAAUUGGUAUGAGACAUCCUCCAUAUUUGCAAAGUUCGGGGGGGAGUAUUCUCCCAAACUAUAACCUAUUAACAAUCAUCAGAUUGCAUAUAUUAUACUCUUUUUUCCUUGAUGAGUUUCCCCUAAUGGUUUCUCAUAAAAGAUUUUUAACGAGAUAAUAUAAACACAAGUGUCUAUAUAUGCCAUAUCAUUUUCUCCUUAUAUUUUUCUCACUGGGUUUUAAAGGAGUUUUCAAUGGCAUGUAUGAUUGCACUCUUUUCCCUUAUGAGUUUUCUCUCAAAGUUUCUCAUGAUGGUUCUUAGUUGAGGCAAUAGCUUCUCAAAGAUCAUAUCUCAUACUUUCUAUUUUCCCUAUCGCGGUUUUUAAAGGAAGUACUCAAGACAUAUUAAUUGUUCUCUACACUCACCAAUGAGUUUUCUCUUUCUUCAAAGGUUUUUCUCAUAUGAGUUAUCAAGAGACAAUAAUCAUUAUAUGUUGCAUUACUUUCUCCUUAUUAUUUUUCCCACUGGGUUUAAAGGAGUUUUAGCAACAUAUGUGCACAAUUCUCCUCAUAUUUUUUCCACAGGGUUUUUCGAGGAGAUUUUCAACAUUACUCAAAGAAUUUGUCAAGAUGAUGGAUAUACCCAAGAAGAGGCGUUGUACAAGGGGGAGUGUUAAGAAUAGAAUAGCUGCUUAUUAAUUAAGUUGGUUAGGAUAAAGUUAAUUCUUAGAUAGGUUACUUAGUCCUUAAGCAACCAUACACUUCCUUGACUCUCAAGGAAACUAUGUAAUAACUUUGUCCUUAGUUAACCUCAAGUUACUUAAUUCUCAAGUAACAUGUAUACUUCCGCCCGGAUAUAAAUACCCACUUCUAUCAUUAAUAAAGACUAAUGAAUCAUCUUUCAUCCAUCUCUCUCGUUCUUUACUUUCUACUUCAAACAACUCCAACCAACUAUUCGUGUGGAAAUUUUCUGUACCGUCAUGCCAAGUGACUCCAACCAACUAUUGCACAACAAUAACCAACUUUGAGCAUGCAUUAUUUUUCCAACUUGUCAGAUGGGACAAUAUAUAAGCGAGAGACAUGUAUGCAUCUACUGUGAAGACUGAAGACUUGUUCUCACUUGUGUAGCUAACGGUUCUGCAGCAAUAGGCGAGACUGUCACUUGUUCCAUGGCGUACUAGCUAGACGAGACCUGGCAACCCCUUCUUUUUGCUAUAUAUCAAUAAAAUUCUAGAUUAUAUAACAAAAUUUCAUAUUUUGGUGAAUUAGUUCAGUGACGUCAAGAGUUAAGAGGUAAAUAGAUUGUUCAAUUUGAGAGAAGUUAGAUUAUGCACGAUGCAUGGAAAGGAUUUUUGCACCAGCUUUCUUCAUACCAACAGUAUAAAUUGUUAAAUUUCUGCUGUUAUGAUCGUCGAAAAAUAAAUAAUUGAGAAACUGGGCACACCUCCAUGAGUAAAAACAGAUGACACGACCAUUAUUAACCGUUAGGUUGCAAACGUAGGGAUGAGAAUGAUUGUAAAACAUCAUUAAUUUUGUAGUGAAACAAUAGUCUGACGUUUCUAAGCUAUUUCGGAAAAGUUUCUGAACUAUUUUGGAAAAAGAAAGUUUAUGAACCAAGAAAGGUUACACAAUCGCUAUAUGCCUAUAUCAUACUAUCUAUUGUUCUCGCUGCUGUACCCGACACACAACAGAAUCAUGUAUUCCCUUCAUAAAAAAAUAUAAAAGCAUUUAGAUCAUUAAAAUAAUGAUCUAAAUAUUUUUUAUUUUCUUUAUAAAGGGAGUAGCCAAAAGCAUAUAAAACCAGAGGUUCAUUUUUGCCUUAUUUAUAUGGGGUCAUUACUGAAUUUUUUUUAUACGCCGAGUGUAAGGCUCUUCGUUGAGAACCAAAUCACGGGCUCUCGGCAAACAAAUAUAUGCCGAGAGCCCCCCUCGGCAAACAAGUGUUCACGAAAACUACGUCCCUUUGUCGACAGUGGCUCACCGCGAACAUGAGCCGAACAGCAAACGGAGCAAACGUCGAGCGUUACUCUCGGCAAAGAGAAGCCAUGUGGCAUUGCCAUCGGGAACUGACGGUGCCGUCACUCGGUUUAACUAUACCGAGAGCAGCUACAUCAUCCUCGGUAAAAACACGUCACGUAAACAUUUUCUUACCUGACGUGUGGUCCCAAUGGUCUCCUGGAGUAUACGAUUCAUGAAAGGAAUGUCGUGAACAGGUGAACGGUUACACUAAUACCGACUAUAAAGGGUUUUCAACUAGGCAACAGGCACAUGAUCAAUUUACACCAAUUAUUGCUAUAGAGGUACAACUUGCUGUUCACACCAAUUUGACUUUAUAUUAUGAACUUUUUGCCCAGAAGUCAUCAGGGGCUUCUCCUUCGUGGAUUUUACUUUAUACAAGUACAAUAGAAGUUUAUUUUAUCGUCGACGUAGUGGCUUUAUUUAUCUCUAAAAUCCUUCUCCAGCGACCCAAUGAAGCCCAGCCCAGCCCAGCCCAGCCCUCUGCUAGUGUCCAUUGGGUCCAUCAAUCCAUCCAGAUCCUGACCAUAGUGGUUGUACUGACGCUGCAUCUUUGUGGCUAGCUCUCCCCCACUCCGCAUCUCGCUAGCUCCACCCUCGAGAAUCGAGAUGAACCACCGCCGCUCGUCGCUGUAGCGUGCGCUCUGGCCGGUAGGUCGGUCGGCUUGCAGAAAUCCGGACCCCGGUAGGCAGGCAGCUGCAGGUACGUACAUCGAGCCAUCGUGUGAGCAAUCCAUGUUAUUAUCCGCAGAACCAUUUCUUUUCUUUAGUGGCAUCAGAUUAAGCAGCAGUCUCGUUUAAGCGAUCUCUGUAUUUAUCCAUGCAGGCUCAGUUGAUUUGCCUCCAUCAAUUUGAUUCUAAGGCAAGAGGAAAGUCCAAGUUUGUGGUCAGAUUUUUUAACUGAAGCCAUUCAUGGUCUCUAAUGGAUCUGCUGUAUGAGACGGUGGCAUCAGAAUUCAGGUUCCUCUGCCUUUGCUCAUGGUCUUGAAAGCCUGUCCGGAUUCUAAGUUUCUAACUCUCCCAAACCUGAAAUCAUUGGCAAGUUGAAACCAAAAUUGGAUGUGCUUGGCGUCAGUUAGUACCAAAUGUUCACAACUCCCACUUAACAGUUACAGGAAGUACUCCAGUAGAGAUGAAGCAACAAUAUUUACUUUAGGGGAAUCGUAGCAAUGCAAAAGAGUUGUGGAAUCCAUAUUUGAAAAAGGAAGAGACUCUGCUGCCCACGGCGUGCAUCUCUGCUUCGUCAGCGCCUGGAUGUGGUGAGGAAGGAGCCCGGCUCGGCAUGGACGCAUACAUCACCAUGCUUUGGUUGCCGGAUUACAAGUGGUCACUGAAUAAAUACUAGCUAUCCUUAAUUCCAUGCAAGAGUUAAUUUGGUGGGUGAUGAUUACUUGUGGACAACAGAUGAAUAAAUCUGCUCUAGUCUCUGCUCUUUACUAGUAGUAUCAGGAUUGUUCAUGUCAGGCUCCCAAAGGCACCAACUCAAGGAAGGCGCAAUCACGAUUGAGGUCAGAUUAUUACUCCCAUUCUUAUCUUAUGUGCAUUGUAGGAAAUUGGAACAAUCCCAUCACCAGUAUGUAUGAUAUCGCCAUUGUGUGGAAGAAGUUUAUUUAUUAUCUACCUGAAAAGAAUAUUUACUGUUAUAACACAGACUGGUUGUCUACACACACACACACAAAAACAGUGACGUACACAAAGAUUGGAAUCGGAAGCAGUUCAUAAGAAUCUCCGUGGAGGAAGGCAAAAAUAAAUUCUUUGCAAUGGCUCGUGACUCUCAAACGCAUUGAUAUUGGCAGGACAAUCCGGAGCUUCCGAUCAAGCUGUUGGGCCCUUUCAGAGUCAAACUCUCAAGCUUUUCAAGAGGUCUUUCACUUUGGCUUUGCUGGGCGUCCAGAGGCAACAUGGGUAUGUCUUCUAGAGACCCAAGAGUUAAGCUAACGAGAAAUGGCCAGGAACCCAAACGGAUGCUUGUAAAAACUGAACCGACUGCAGUACUGUGAGCUCCAACUAUGCUCAACUUGCUGACAACGGGGAUCGCUGCAGUACUUGCAAGCUUGGGGCAAUUUUUGAUCUUUAGCUCUUCAAGCAUCGGAAAUGUUACCAGGUUAUCACAACUAGGCUCUCCCAUACUAUUUUCUGCCCACAUCUCCAGGCUUGGUAACUGAAUUAACCUCAUCUUCUUCAACCCUGGGAAAAUCCGCAGAGGGGUGAUGCAUCCUCCGGCUUCCGCAUCAAGGUUAUUACAUAAUGUGAUCAGGUUAUCCAUCCUCUCUAAGACCAAAAUCUCUAGAGAGACCGAGAACCAUAUUACAGGGAUACUCUUGCAUUUUGGGCAGCCAAACAUUUUGAGUUCUCUCAAGCAGUCAAACAUCUGAGGCUUUCUCAUCCAUUGUGAUAUUUCUAGGCCAUGAUAUCCACGUAUCUCCAGUUUUUGGAUAUUGCUAUGAGGUUCUAAGCACUGAAGCACUUCUUCCACAUCUCUAGGAUCAUCAUCUAUUUUCUGGUCCCAAGUGAACAACAACUCACUUAGAUUUUGCUUCUGACUGAGAUUGGCUUCUUUUGCAUUCUCCCCACCCUUUAUCUUGUCCAAGUUCAACAGUUCCAACUUAUUGCUAAGGUUUUGCAAGUCUUUGAGCUGCUCUAUUCCAAGGCCAUCUCCGGUACCCACAACAAAUGUUGUUAAUAUGUGAAGGUUGUUCAGCAGACGGAAGUUUGGAGACAUAUUUUUGAGACUCACACAACCAGAAAGGUAAAGAUGGAUGAGCUUUGUCAAUCUGGUAACUGUUGCAACUGCCGGCAGUCUAUGAGCCUCAGUGUUUGCAGGUUAUACAACAUACAUAUUGUAUCUGGCAACCUAACGAUGUCAGACCCUGAGAGGUCAAGAUAACGUAAAUGUUUUGCAUUUAUGGCCUUGCAAAUGACAAUUGGAGAAGGGGAUCCGGAGCAAUGCAAUGCCCUUACUGACGCAAAUACAUGUUGCAACUCCUUAAUUUCCUUGUGUGAUCUGCUUGGAAACUUAUAAAGAUGAUCCUCCCAUGAUUCUGAAGGAGAUAACAAAGUGCGGAGGUAUGUUCUGCCUUUGCAUAACCCACUGAUUCGUUCGAAUUCAGCCUUUGACAUUUGCAUGUGACAAAUACCUUUUGAUAAUGCGGAGGCUUUCAGAGAUUCAUACCUGCAGUUGCAGGUACCAUCGAUUAACAUUUAUUUUAUUUACACACAACGGAGACUGAUUAUUUAUCAGGGGAGGGGACUCACGCGUAUGCCCAUUUACUUCACAGCUAUUAUUCUGGAUUUCCAUGGCGCCGUCAUCGCGAAAUGUCUUUACGUGGGACAGAGGAGAGCAAGUGGAAAUACUCCCCACCUUCUCUGCAUCGUGUUCCCAACUCCGGGCAGUCAUGUAUGCUCAAGUGUUCGAGAGCUGGCAACCGCUCUAGGAGACCAUGCGGGAAUUUCUUCAUACUUGGACAAUUCCAAAUCCAUAAUUCCCUCAGAGAAGUGAGGCCACACAUCCCAUCAGGCAGCACUUUCAGGCUCCUGCAGUAACUCACAUUGAGACGCCUCAGCUUGGCAAGAUUUCCAAGGUUCCAAGGCAGUGCUACUACACUGCGGCAGUUUCCGAUCGUCAAACCCUCCAGGGACAGCGGAAGGGUUUCCUCCUCAGACGAUGAAUUUUUCCCCUCCAGGUUGUCACAAUUUGUGAUACUCAGAAAGCGGAGGCGAUCCAUGCACCGGAGCUCCUCUGUUGGCCAGCGGACAAGAUUGCUGCAACCAUAUAUCUUCAGAUUUCUCACGAACCGAAAACAUUUCCAAACCAUAAGUUGUGAUUCGGACAAUCCGAAGCUUCUGAUCAAGCUGUUGGGCCCUAUCAGAGUCAAACUCUCAAGCUUUUCAAGAGGUCUUUGACUUUGGCUUUGCUGGGGGUCUAGAGGCAACAUGGGUAUGUCUUUUAGAGACCCAAGAGUUAACUCAGCAAGAAAUGGCCAGGAACCCAAACGGAUACACAUAAAAACUGAACCGACUGCACAACCGUGAACUCCAACUAUGCUCAACUUGCUGACAACGGGGAUCGCUGGAAUACUUGCAAGCUUGGGGCAAUCUAUGAUCCUUAGCUCUUCAAGCAUUGGAAAUGUUACCAGGUUAUCACAACUAGGCUCUCCCAUACUAUUUUCUGCCCACAUCUCCAGGCUUGCUAACUCAAUCAACCUCAUGUUCUUCAACCUUGGGAAAAUCCGCAGAGGGGUGAUGCAUCCUCCGGCUUCCGCAUCAAGGUUAUUGCAUAAUGUAGUCAGGUUAUUCAUCCACUGUAAGACCAAAAUCUCUAGAGAGACCGAGAACCAUAUUAGAGGGAUACUCUUGCAUUUUGGGCAGCCAAACAUUUUGAGUUCUCUCAAGCAAUCAAACAUCUGAGGCUUUCUCAUCCAUUGUGUUAUUUCUAGGCCAACAUAUCCGCAUAUCGCCAGUUUUUGGAUAUUACUGUGAGGUUCUAAACACUGAAGCACUUCUUCCACAUCUCUAGGCUCAUCAUCUAUUUCUUGGCCCCAAGAGAACAAC